Molecule: ribosomal RNA, 466 nt
Filed under: uncultured bacterium
Lineage: Bacteria
Description: partial 16S ribosomal RNA
Rfam family: Bacterial small subunit ribosomal RNA
Source: RNAcentral
GAUGAACGCUGGCGGCGUGCUUAACACAUGCAAGUCGGACGAUGAAGCCCAGCUUGCUGGGUGGAUUAGUGGCGAACGGGUGAGUAACACGUGAGUAACCUGCCCUUAACUCUGGGAUAAGCCUGGGAAACUGGGUCUAAUACCGGAUAGGAGCGUCCACCGCAUGGUGGGUGUUGGAAAGAUUUAUCGGUUUUGGAUGGACUCGCGGCCUAUCAGCUUGUUGGUGAGGUAAUGGCUCACCAAGGCGACGACGGGUAGCCGGCCUGAGAGGGUGACCGGCCACACUGGGACUGAGACACGGCCCAGACUCCUACGGGAGGCAGCAGUGGGGAAUAUUGCACAAUGGGCGCAAGCCUGAUGCAGCGACGCCGCGUGAGGGAUGACGGCCUUCGGGUUGUAAACCUCUUUCAGUAGGGAAGAAGCGAAAGUGACGGUACCUGCAGAAGAAGCACCGGCUAACUACGUG